Molecule: ribosomal RNA, 484 nt
Filed under: uncultured bacterium
Lineage: Bacteria
Description: partial 16S ribosomal RNA
Rfam family: Bacterial small subunit ribosomal RNA
Source: RNAcentral
AUUGAACGCUGGCGGCAGGCCUAACGCAUGCGAGUCGAGCGGAUGAAGGGAGCUUGCUCCUGGAUUCAGCGGCGGACGGGUGAGUAAUGCCUAGGAAUCUGCCUGGUAGUGGGGGAUAACGUCCGGAAACGGGCGCUAAUACCGCAUACGUCCUGAGGGAGAAAGUGGGGGAUCUUCGGACCUCACGCUAUCAGAUGAGCCUAGGUCGGAUUAGCUAGUUGGUGGGGUAAAGGCCUACCAAGGCGACGAUCCGUAACUGGUCUGAGAGGAUGAUCAGUCACACUGGAACUGAGACACGGUCCAGACUCCUACGGGAGGCAGCAGUGGGGAAUAUUGGACAAUGGGCGAAAGCCUGAUCCAGCCAUGCCGCGUGUGUGAAGAAGGUCUUCGGAUUGUAAAGCACUUUAAGUUGGGAGGAAGGGCAGUAAGUUAAUACCUUGCUGUUUUGACGUUACCAACAGAAUAAGCACCGGCUAACUUCGUG